AACGAACGCUGGCGGCAGGCCUAACACAUGCAAGUCGAACGAACUGCUCGGGGUUUGUGACGGGCGGGCGAGUAACAAGUGGGAAUGCGCUAUGAGGUUUAUAAGAGCGCAGGGACACUGAUUCUUAGAUUAAAAGCCCACGGCGGGGGAGAGAAUCAUCGCCAUUUGAUCGGACCUCGGCUGAUCAACUAGGUGGUGAGGUAAAGGCCCACCAAGGCGACGAUAAGUAGCUGGUAUGAGAGGAUGAUCAGCCACAUUGGGACUGAGACACGGACCAACCUCCUACGGGAGGCAGCAGUGGGGAAUCUUGGCCAAUGGGCGCAAGUCUGACACAGCCAUGCCGCGUGAAUGAUGAAGGUCUUAGGAUUGUAAAAUUCUUUCGACGGGGACGAUAAUGACGGUACCCGAAGAAGAAGCCCCGGCUAACUUCGUG
This 433-nucleotide ribosomal RNA is filed under the name uncultured bacterium. Its description in RNAcentral is "partial 16S ribosomal RNA". It matches the Rfam family "Bacterial small subunit ribosomal RNA", at positions 29 to 507 of the family's 1533-position model. The record is from RNAcentral.